RNAcentral lists this ribosomal RNA (764 nucleotides) under Austrochloritis ballengarra. RNAcentral's name for it is "partial large subunit ribosomal RNA". Lineage: Eukaryota; Metazoa; Mollusca; Gastropoda; Stylommatophora; Camaenidae. The record is from RNAcentral.
UCAAUUAAAAGAUUAUAAAUAAAUCGUCACGAAAUUAAAGGAGUUAAUUAUUAUAUAUUAAUAGAAAUGAAGAUGUUGCAAAAUAAAGAAAAUAAUAAUUAGGGGUGAUAGGCUUAUCAAAUUUAAAGAUAACUUGAUGGUUUAGAAAUGUAUAAAUACGAAGACAUUCUUGGAGUUAUUAGGUUUCAAGGGGUAAUAAAUUGUUUUGUAAAUUGCGUAUAGGAUUUAAUCAUAAAUACAAUCAUAAAAUAGUAUACAAUUAUUAAAAUUGUUUAUAAUAUAAACCGGUAUAUUUAAUUUAAAAAUUAAUUUCAUAAUGUUGAUAUUAGUAAUAAAAAGAUACUAAUAAUGAACUCGGCAAUAAGCCUUUCAACUGUUUAUCAAAAACAUAGCUAUAUGAAUAAAUAUAUAGUAAUUUCUGCUCAAUGAUAAAUUAAAUAGCCGCAGUACCCUGACUGUGCUAAGGUAGCGCAAUCAAUUGACUUUUAAAUGAAGUCCUGUAUGAAGGAAACUAUGGAGGGCUACUUUAUCAUUAGUAAUUACUGAAUUUGUUAAGGUAGUGAAAAUUCUCCUAUAAAAAUAAAAGACGAGAAGACCCUAGAAAUUUUGAGGUAGUACUUUUUGUUGGGGCAACAAAGUAGCAUUCAAUCUACUGUUAUAACACGAAAUUAAUAUUUAGCGAGAUUAAAUUACUCUAGGGAUAACAGCAUAAUUUGUGAGAGUUUGUGACCUCGAUGUUGGAUUAGGGAAUUUACAUUCAGAAG